GUUGUAUGGUUAAGUGACUAAGCGUACACGGUGGAUGCCUGGGCAGUCAGAGGCGAUGAAGGACGUACUAACUUGCGAUAAGCGCAGAUAAGGCAGUAAGAGCCGUUUGAGUCUGCGAUUUCCGAAUGGGGAAACCCAACUGCAUAAGCAGUUACUGUUAACUCAAUACAUAGGUUAACAGAGCAAACCGGGGGAACUGAAACAUCUAAGUACCCCGAGGAGAAGAAAUCAACCGAGAUUCCGGUAGUAGCGGCGAGCGAACCUGGAUUAGCCCUUAAGCACUCGGUGAAGUAGGUGAACAAGCUGGAAAGCUUGGCGAUACAGGGUGAUAGCCCCGUAACCGACGCUUCAUCGAGCGUGAAAUCGAGUAGGGCGGGACACGUGAUAUCCUGUCUGAAUAUGGGGGGACCAUCCUCCAAGGCUAAAUACUCCUGACUGACCGAUAGUGAACCAGUACCGUGAGGGAAAGGCGAAAAGAACCCCUGUGAGGGGAGUGAAAUAGAACCUGAAACCGUGUACGUACAAGCAGUAGGAGCACCUUCGUGGUGUGACUGCGUACCUUUUGUAUAAUGGGUCAGCGACUUAUAUUCAGUGGCAAGGUUAACCGUAUAGGGGAGCCGUAGCGAAAGCGAGUCUUAACUGGGCGCUCAGUCUCUGGAUAUAGACCCGAAACCGGGUGAUCUAGCCAUGGGCAGGUUGAAGGUUGAGUAACAUCAACUGGAGGACCGAACCGACUAAUGUUGAAAAAUUAGCGGAUGACUUGUGGCUAGGGGUGAAAGGCCAAUCAAACUCGGAGAUAGCUGGUUCUCCCCGAAAGCUAUUUAGGUAGCGCCUCGGACGAAUACUACUGGGGGUAGAGCACUGUUAAGGCUAGGGGGUCAUCCCGACUUACCAACCCUUUGCAAACUCCGAAUACCAGUAAGUACUAUCCGGGAGACACACGGCGGGUGCUAACGUCCGUCGUGGAGAGGGAAACAACCCAGACCGCCAGCUAAGGUCCCAAAGUAUUGCUAAGUGGGAAACGAUGUGGGAAGGCUCAGACAGCUAGGAUGUUGGCUUAGAAGCAGCCAUCAUUUAAAGAAAGCGUAAUAGCUCACUAGUCGAGUCGGCCUGCGCGGAAGAUGUAACGGGGCUAAGCAAUACACCGAAGCUGCGGCAAUGUCUUUUAGACAUUGGGUAGGGGAGCGUUCUGUAAGCCGUUGAAGGUGAAUCGUAAGGUUUGCUGGAGGUAUCAGAAGUGCGAAUGCUGACAUGAGUAACGACAAAGGGGGUGAAAAACCUCCUCGCCGGAAGACCAAGGGUUCCUGUCCAACGUUAAUCGGGGCAGGGUGAGUCGACCCCUAAGGUGAGGCCGAAAGGCGUAAUCGAUGGGAAACGGGUUAAUAUUCCCGUACUUCUGACUAUUGCGAUGGGGGGACGGAGAAGGCUAGGUGGGCCAGGCGACGGUUGUCCUGGUUCAAGUGCGUAGGCUUGAGAGUUAGGUAAAUCCGGCUCUCUUUAAGGCUGAGACACGACGUCGAGCUACUACGGUAGUGAAGUCAUUGAUGCCAUGCUUCCAGGAAAAGCCUCUAAGCUUCAGAUAGUCAGGAAUCGUACCCCAAACCGACACAGGUGGUCGGGUAGAGAAUACCAAGGCGCUUGAGAGAACUCGGGUGAAGGAACUAGGCAAAAUGGUACCGUAACUUCGGGAGAAGGUACGCUCUUGAUGGUGAAGUCCCUCGCGGAUGGAGCUGACGAGAGUCGCAGAUACCAGGUGGCUGCAACUGUUUAUUAAAAACACAGCACUGUGCAAAAUCGCAAGAUGACGUAUACGGUGUGACGCCUGCCCGGUGCCGGAA
RNAcentral lists this ribosomal RNA (1838 nucleotides) under Vibrio cholerae. RNAcentral describes it as "partial 23S ribosomal RNA". It matches the Rfam family "Bacterial large subunit ribosomal RNA", at positions 1 to 1874 of the family's 2925-position model. The record is from RNAcentral. Lineage: Bacteria; Pseudomonadati; Pseudomonadota; Gammaproteobacteria; Vibrionales; Vibrionaceae.